GGAGGGUGCAAGCGUUAAUCGGAAUUACUGGGCGUAAAGCGCGCGUAGGUGGUCUGUUAAGUCGGAUGUGAAAGCCCCGGGCUCAACCUGGGAACUGCAUCCGAUACUGGCAAACUAGAGUGCGGGAGAGGGAGGUAGAAUUCCACGUGUAGCGGUGAAAUGCGUAGAUAUGUGGAGGAAUACCAGUGGCGAAGGCGGCCUCCUGGCUCGACACUGACACUGAGGUGCGAAAGCGUGGGGAGCAAACAGGAUUAGAUACCCUGCUAGUCCACGCCGUAAACGAUGUCUACU
This 291-nucleotide ribosomal RNA is filed under the name uncultured marine bacterium. RNAcentral's name for it is "partial 16S ribosomal RNA". It matches the Rfam family "Bacterial small subunit ribosomal RNA", at positions 527 to 817 of the family's 1533-position model. The record is from RNAcentral.